Molecule: ribosomal RNA, 395 nt
Filed under: uncultured bacterium
Lineage: Bacteria
Description: bacterial SSU rRNA
Rfam family: Bacterial small subunit ribosomal RNA
Source: RNAcentral
GGGAAUAUUGCACAAUGGGCGAAAGCCUGAUGCAGCCAUGCCGCGUGUAUGAAGAAGGCCUUCGGGUUGUAAAGCUCUGUCUUCAGGGACGAUAAUGACGGUACCUGAGGAGGAAGCCACGGCUAACUACGUGCCAGCAGCCGCGGUAAUACGUAGGUGGCGCGCGUUGUCCGGAUUUAUUGGGCGUAAAGGGAACGCAGGCGGUCUUUUAAGUCUGAUGUGAAAGCCUUCGGCUUAACCGGAGUAGUGCAUUGGAAACUGGGAGACUUGAGUGCAGAAGAGGAGAGUGGAAUUCCAUGUGUAGCGGUGAAAUGCGUAGAUAUAUGGAGGAACACCAGUGGCGAAGGCGGCUCUCUGGUCUGUAACUGACGCUGAGGCUCGAAAGCGUGGGGAGC